GGGUUGUGAGGUUAAGCGACUAAGCGUACACGGUGGAUGCCCUGGCAGUCAGAGGCGAUGAAGGACGUGCUAAUCUGCGAUAAGCGUCGGUAAGGUGAUAUGAACCGUUAUAACCGGCGAUUUCCGAAUGGGGAAACCCAGUGUGAUUCGUCACACUAUCAUUAACUGAAUCCAUAGGUUAAUGAGGCGAACCGGGGGAACUGAAACAUCUAAGUACCCCGAGGAAAAGAAAUCAACCGAGAUUCCCCCAGUAGCGGCGAGCGAACGGGGAGCAGCCCAGAGCCUGAAUCAGUGUGUGUGUUAGUGGAAGCGUCUGGAAAGGCGUGCGAUACAGGGUGACAGCCCCGUACACAAAAAUGCACAUACUGUGAGCUCGAUGAGUAGGGCGGGACACGUGGUAUCCUGUCUGAAUAUGGGGGGACCAUCCUCCAAGGCUAAAUACUCCUGACUGACCGAUAGUGAACCAGUACCGUGAGGGAAAGGCGAAAAGAACCCCGGCGAGGGGAGUGAAAAAGAACCUGAAACCGUGUACGUACAAGCAGUGGGAGCACGCUUAGGCGUGUGACUGCGUACCUUUUGUAUAAUGGGUCAGCGACUUAUAUUCUGUAGCAAGGUUAACCGAAUAGGGGAGCCGAAGGGAAACCGAGUCUUAACUGGGCGUUAAGUUGCAGGGUAUAGACCCGAAACCCGGUGAUCUAGCCAUGGGCAGGUUGAAGGUUGGGUAACACUAACUGGAGGACCGAACCGACUAAUGUUGAAAAAUUAGCGGAUGACUUGUGGCUGGGGGUGAAAGGCCAAUCAAACCGGGAGAUAGCUGGUUCUCCCCGAAAGCUAUUUAGGUAGCGCCUCGUGAAUUCAUCUCCGGGGGUAGAGCACUGUUUCGGCAAGGGGGUCAUCCCGACUUACCAACCCGAUGCAAACUGCGAAUACCGGAGAAUGUUAUUACGGGAGACACACGGCGGGUGCUAACGUCCGUCGUGAAGAGGGAAACAACCCAGACCGCCAGCUAAGGUCCCAAAGUCAUGGUUAAGUGGGAAACGAUGUGGGAAGGCCCAGACAGCCAGGAUGUUGGCUUAGAAGCAGCCAUCAUUUAAAGAAAGCGUAAUAGCUCACUGGUCGAGUCGGCCUGCGCGGAAGAUGUAACGGGGCUAAACCAUGCACCGAAGCUGCGGCAGCGACGCUUAUGCGUUGUUGGGUAGGGGAGCGUUCUGUAAGCCUGUGAAGGUGUGCUGUGAGGUAUGCUGGAGGUAUCAGAAGUGCGAAUGCUGACAUAAGUAACGAUAAAGCGGGUGAAAAGCCCGCUCGCCGGAAGACCAAGGGUUCCUGUCCAACGUUAAUCGGGGCAGGGUGAGUCGACCCCUAAGGCGAGGCCGAAAGGCGUAGUCGAUGGGAAACAGGUUAAUAUUCCUGUACUUGGUGUUACUGCGAAGGGGGGACGGAGAAGGCUAUGUUGGCCGGGCGACGGUUGUCCCGGUUUAAGCGUGUAGGCUGGUUUUCCAGGCAAAUCCGGAAAAUCAAGGCCGAGGCGUGAUGACGAGGCACUACGGUGCUGAAGCAACAAAUGCCCUGCUUCCAGGAA
RNAcentral lists this ribosomal RNA (1579 nucleotides) under Shigella flexneri. RNAcentral's name for it is "partial 23S ribosomal RNA". It matches the Rfam family "Bacterial large subunit ribosomal RNA", at positions 1 to 1614 of the family's 2925-position model. The record is from RNAcentral. Lineage: Bacteria; Pseudomonadati; Pseudomonadota; Gammaproteobacteria; Enterobacterales; Enterobacteriaceae.